ACGCUGAAAGCAUCUAAGUGUGAAACUCGCCUCGAGAUGAGAUUUCCCAUUUCCUUCGGGAAAGUAAGACCCCUCAGAGAUGAUGAGGUAGAUAGGAUGGAAGUGGAAGUGCCGUGAGGCAUGGAGCGGACCAUUACUAAUCGGUCGAGGACUUAACCAAG
This 161-nucleotide ribosomal RNA is filed under the name Limosilactobacillus reuteri. Its description in RNAcentral is "partial 23S ribosomal RNA". It matches the Rfam family "Bacterial large subunit ribosomal RNA", at positions 2768 to 2925 of the family's 2925-position model. The record is from RNAcentral. Lineage: Bacteria; Bacillati; Bacillota; Bacilli; Lactobacillales; Lactobacillaceae.